ACUUAUAUAUGUAUAUAUACCUCGCUCGCUCCUUAGAUUUGCAUAGACAAAAAAAAACCAAGAAUAAGAAUUAUAUUGAUUCACACUAAUUUGUUAGAAAGAUGUCUAAGCUAUCUUUGGGAAACAUUUUCUUAUUUGUGUUUCUGGUUUCAGUUGUGUGGAUGACAAGCAUAGUAGCCGCACGAGAAAAAGUGUUGACGUGCACAGAAACUUGGGUUGACGAAGAUUGCAAAAGAGGCACCCCUUUUAGUAAUUGUCGCAUCAAUUGUGAAGAAAAAUAUGGUCCUUAUUACUACGGUGCAGGUUGCUUAGAACCUAGACCCUUUUGUAUAUGCACGCAUAUAUGUUAAAACUUAAAAGUAAUAAUAAGGUGGCUAUUUAUAUAAAAAUAUUUUUUAUGUGAAAAUAAUUGCU
Molecule: non-coding RNA, 414 nt
Organism: Arachis ipaensis
Lineage: Eukaryota; Viridiplantae; Streptophyta; Magnoliopsida; Fabales; Fabaceae
Source: RefSeq, a predicted model, not a curated record